Molecule: transfer RNA, 74 nt
Filed under: Candidatus Woesearchaeota archaeon
Lineage: Archaea; Nanobdellati; Candidatus Woesearchaeota
Description: tRNA-Lys
Rfam family: tRNA
About the family: Transfer RNA (tRNA) molecules are approximately 80 nucleotides in length. Their secondary structure includes four short double-helical elements and three loops (D, anti-codon, and T loops). Further hydrogen bonds mediate the characteristic L-shaped molecular structure. tRNAs have two regions of fundamental functional importance: the anti-codon, which is responsible for specific mRNA codon recognition, and the 3' end, to which the tRNAs corresponding amino acid is attached (by aminoacyl-tRNA synthetases). tRNAs cope with the degeneracy of the genetic code in two manners: having more than one tRNA (with a specific anti-codon) for a particular amino acid; and 'wobble' base-pairing, i.e. permitting non-standard base-pairing at the 3rd anti-codon position.
Source: RNAcentral
GGGCCUAUAGCUCAGUCUGGUAGAGCGCGAGACUCUUAAUCUUGAGGUCGGGGGUUCGAAUCCCUCUGGGCCCA